GUGGGUGUGGGCUAACUUUUAAGCCGCUUGCCUUCCCGGCAAGAGAUAGUGGUGCAAAUCCGCUCACCCGCUCCA
RNAcentral lists this transfer RNA (75 nucleotides) under Intestinimonas butyriciproducens. RNAcentral's name for it is "tRNA-Gly". It matches the Rfam family "tRNA". From Rfam's summary of the family: Transfer RNA (tRNA) molecules are approximately 80 nucleotides in length. Lineage: Bacteria; Bacillati; Bacillota; Clostridia; Eubacteriales. The record is from RNAcentral.